Molecule: non-coding RNA, 24 nt
Filed under: Arabidopsis thaliana (thale cress)
Lineage: Eukaryota; Viridiplantae; Streptophyta; Magnoliopsida; Brassicales; Brassicaceae
Source: RNAcentral
CCAUGUUUUAUUUUCAGGGAUUGC